Molecule: ribosomal RNA, 531 nt
Filed under: Flavobacterium sp. B402
Lineage: Bacteria; Pseudomonadati; Bacteroidota; Flavobacteriia; Flavobacteriales; Flavobacteriaceae
Description: bacterial SSU rRNA
Rfam family: Bacterial small subunit ribosomal RNA
Source: RNAcentral
CAUGAAACCACUAUUAAAGUCACAACGGUGAAAGAUGAGCAUGCGUCCCAUUAGCUAGUUGGUAAGGUAACGGCUUACCAAGGCAACGAUGGGUAGGGGUCCUGAGAGGGAGAUCCCCCACACUGGUACUGAGACACGGACCAGACUCCUACGGGAGGCAGCAGUGAGGAAUAUUGGACAAUGGGCGCAAGCCUGAUCCAGCCAUGCCGCGUGCAGGAUGACGGUCCUAUGGAUUGUAAACUGCUUUUAUACGAGAAGAAACCCUCCGACGUGUCGGAGCUUGACGGUAUCGUAAGAAUAAGGAUCGGCUAACUCCGUGCCAGCAGCCGCGGUAAUACGGAGGAUCCAAGCGUUAUCCGGAAUCAUUGGGUUUAAAGGGUCCGUAGGCGGUCAGGUAAGUCAGUGGUGAAAGCCCAUCGCUCAACGGUGGAACGGCCAUUGAUACUGUCUGACUUGAAUUAUUAGGAAGUAACUAGAAUAUGUAGUGUAGCGGUGAAAUGCUUAGAGAUUACAUGGAAUACCAAUUGCGAA